This 83-nucleotide transfer RNA is filed under the name Streptomyces phage Daubenski. Its description in RNAcentral is "tRNA-Leu". It matches the Rfam family "tRNA". Rfam says of the family: Transfer RNA (tRNA) molecules are approximately 80 nucleotides in length. Their secondary structure includes four short double-helical elements and three loops (D, anti-codon, and T loops). Lineage: Duplodnaviria; Heunggongvirae; Uroviricota; Caudoviricetes; Stanwilliamsviridae. The record is from RNAcentral.
GCACCCAUGGUGGAAUGGCAGACACACUAGAUUGAGGCUCUAGGCUCGAAUGGGCGUCCGGGUUCGACUCCCGGUGGGUGUAC